AUGAACGCUGGCGGCGUGCCUAAUACAUGCAAGUCGAGCGAACGGACGAGAAGCUUGCUUCUCUGAUGUUAGCGGCGGACGGGUGAGUAACACGUGGAUAACCUACCUAUAAGACUGGGAUAACUUCGGGAAACCGGAGCUAAUACCGGAUAAUAUUUUGAACCGCAUGGUUCAAAAGUGAAAGACGGUCUUGCUGUCACUUAUAGAUGGAUCCGCGCUGCAUUAGCUAGUUGGUAAGGUAACGGCUUACCAAGGCAACGAUGCAUAGCCGACCUGAGAGGGUGAUCGGCCCCACUGGAACUGAGACACGGUCCAGACUCCUACGGGAGGCAGCAGUAGGGAAUCUUCCGCAAUGGGCGAAAGCCUGACGGAGCAACGCCGCGUGAGUGAUGAAGGUCUUCGGAUCGUAAAACUCUGUUAUUAGGGAAGAACAUAUGUGUAAGUAACUGUGCACAUCUUGACGGUACCUAAUCAGAAAGCCACGGCUAACUACGUG
RNAcentral lists this ribosomal RNA (496 nucleotides) under uncultured bacterium. RNAcentral describes it as "partial 16S ribosomal RNA". It matches the Rfam family "Bacterial small subunit ribosomal RNA", at positions 29 to 507 of the family's 1533-position model. The record is from RNAcentral.